UACGUAGGGGGCAAGCGUUGUCCGGAAUCAUUGGGCGUAAAGAGCGUGUAGGCGGCUAGGCAGGUGGGUUGUGAAAACUGGAGGCUCAACCUUCAGACGUCGACCCAAACCCCCUGGCUAGAGUCCGGAAGAGGAGAGUGGAAUUCCUGGUGUAGCGGUGAAAUGCGCAGAUAUCAGGAAGAACACCGGUGGCGAAGGCGGUUCUCUGGGCCUUACCUGACGCUGAGGAGCGAAAGCGUGGGGAGCGAACAGG
This 253-nucleotide ribosomal RNA is filed under the name uncultured bacterium. Its description in RNAcentral is "partial 16S ribosomal RNA". It matches the Rfam family "Bacterial small subunit ribosomal RNA", at positions 524 to 776 of the family's 1533-position model. The record is from RNAcentral.